GAUGAACGCUGGCGGCGUGCCUAAUACAUGCAAGUCGAGCGAACGGACGGGAAGCUUGCUUCUCUGAUGUUAGCGGCGGACGGGUGAGUAACACGUGGAUAACCUACCUAUAAGACUGGGAUAACUUCGGGAAACCGGAGCUAAUACCGGAUAAUAUUUUGAACCGCAUGGUUCAAAAGUGAAAGACGGUCUUGCUGUCACUUAUAGAUGGAUCCGCGCUGCAUUAGCUAGUUGGUAAGGUAACGGCGUACCAAGGCAACGAUGCAUAGCCGACCUGAGAGGGUGAUCGGCCACACUGGAACUGAGACACGGUCCAGACUCCUACGGGAGGCAGCAGUAGGGAAUCUUCCGCAAUGGGCGAAAGCCUGACGGAGCAACGCCGCGUGAGUGAUGAAGGUCUUCGGAUCGUAAAACUCUGUUAUUAGGGAAGAACAUAUGUGUAAGUAACUGUGCACAUCUUGACGGUACCUAAUCAGAAAGCCACGGCUAACUACGUG
RNAcentral lists this ribosomal RNA (497 nucleotides) under uncultured bacterium. RNAcentral's name for it is "partial 16S ribosomal RNA". It matches the Rfam family "Bacterial small subunit ribosomal RNA", at positions 28 to 507 of the family's 1533-position model. The record is from RNAcentral.